RNAcentral lists this ribosomal RNA (468 nucleotides) under Microspingus melanoleucus (black-capped warbling finch). RNAcentral's name for it is "Poospiza melanoleuca (black-capped warbling finch) partial 16S ribosomal RNA". It matches the Rfam family "Bacterial large subunit ribosomal RNA", at positions 1938 to 2568 of the family's 2925-position model. Lineage: Eukaryota; Metazoa; Chordata; Aves; Passeriformes; Thraupidae. The record is from RNAcentral.
UAUCCUAACCGUGCAAAGGUAGCGCAAUCAAUUGUCCCAUAAAUCGAGACUAGUAUGAAUGGCUAAACGAGGUCUUAACUGUCUCUUACAGGCAAUCGGUGAAAUUGAUCUCCCUGUACAAAAGCAGGGAUACACCCAUAAGACGAGAAGACCCUGUGGAACUUUAAAACCAGCAACCACCUUAAAACACAUAUCCACCCACUGGGCUCACUGACACAUAAGACGCUGGUCUGCGUUUUUCGGUUGGGGCGACCUUGGAGCAAAACAAAACCUCCAAAAACUAGACCAUACCUCUAGACUGAGAGCAACCUCUCAACGUGCUAAUAGCACCCAGACCCAAUAUAAUUGAUCGAUGGACCAAGCUACCCCAGGGAUAACAGCGCAAUCUCCUCCGAGAGUCCGUAUCGACGAGGAGGUUUACGACCUCGAUGUUGGAUCAGGACAUCCUAGUGGUGCAGCCGCUACUAA